RNAcentral lists this ribosomal RNA (433 nucleotides) under uncultured bacterium. Its description in RNAcentral is "partial 16S ribosomal RNA". It matches the Rfam family "Bacterial small subunit ribosomal RNA", at positions 29 to 507 of the family's 1533-position model. The record is from RNAcentral.
AACGAACGCUGGCGGCAUGCCUAACACAUGCCAGUCGAACGAGACCUUCGGGUCUAGUGGCGCACGGGUGCGUAACGCGUGGGAACCUGCCCUUAGGUUCGGAAUAACUCCCCGAAAGGGGUGCUAAUACCGGAUAAUGUCUUCGGACCAAAGAUUUAUCGCCUUUGGAUGGGCCCGCGUUGGAUUAGCUAGUUGGUAGGGUAAAAGCCUACCAAGGCGACGAUCCAUAGCUGGUCUGAGAGGAUGAUCAGCCACACCGGGACUGAGACACGGCCCAGACUCCUACGGGAGGCAGCAGUGGGGAAUAUUGGACAAUGGGCGAAAGCCUGAUCCAGCAAUGCCGCGUGAGUGAUGAAGGCCUUAGGGUUGUAAAGCUCUUUUACCCGGGAUGAUAAUGACAGUACCGGGAGAAUAAGCUCCGGCUAACUCCGUG